This 292-nucleotide ribosomal RNA is filed under the name uncultured bacterium. RNAcentral's name for it is "partial 16S ribosomal RNA". It matches the Rfam family "Bacterial small subunit ribosomal RNA", at positions 505 to 796 of the family's 1533-position model. The record is from RNAcentral.
GUGCCAGCCGCCGCGGUAAUACGGAGGGUGCAAGCGUUAUCCGGAUUCACUGGGUUUAAAGGGUGCGUAGGUGGGUUGGUAAGUCAGUGGUGAAAUCCCCGAGCUUAACUUGGGAACUGCCAUUGAUACUAUCAGUCUUGAAUAUUGUGGAGGUUAGCGGAAUAUGUCAUGUAGCGGUGAAAUGCUUAGAUAUGACAUAGAACACCAAUUGCGAAGGCAGCUGGCUACGCAUAUAUUGACACUGAGGCACGAAAGCGUGGGGAUCAAACAGGAUUAGAUACCCUGGUAGUCC